RNAcentral lists this ribosomal RNA (497 nucleotides) under uncultured bacterium. Its description in RNAcentral is "partial 16S ribosomal RNA". It matches the Rfam family "Bacterial small subunit ribosomal RNA", at positions 28 to 507 of the family's 1533-position model. The record is from RNAcentral.
GAUGAACGCUGGCGGCGUGCCUAAUACAUGCAAGUCGAGCGAACGGACGAGAAGCUUGCUUCUCUGAUGUUAGCGGCGGACGGGUGAGUAACACGUGGAUAACCUACCUAUAAGACUGGGAUAAUUUCGGGAAACCGGAGCUAAUACCGGAUAAUAUUUUGAACCGCAUGGUUCAAAAGUGAAAGACGGUCUUGCUGUCACUUAUAGAUGGAUCCGCGCUGCCUUAGCUAGUUGGUAAGGUAACGGCUUACCAAGGCAACGAUGCAUAGCCGACCUGAGAGGGUGAUCGGCCACACUGGAUCUGAGACACGGCCCCGACUCCUGCGGUAGGCAGCAGUAGGGAAUCUUCCGCAAGGGGCGAGAGCGUGACGGAGCAACGCCGCGUGAGUGCUGAAGGUCUUCGGCUCGUAAAGCUCUGUUGUUAGUGAAGAACAUAUGUGUAAGUAACUGUGCACAUCUUGACGGUACCGAAUCAGAAAGCCACGGCUAACUACGUG